This 433-nucleotide ribosomal RNA is filed under the name uncultured bacterium. RNAcentral describes it as "partial 16S ribosomal RNA". It matches the Rfam family "Bacterial small subunit ribosomal RNA", at positions 29 to 507 of the family's 1533-position model. The record is from RNAcentral.
AGCGAACGCUGGCGGCAUGCCUAACACAUGCAAGUCGAACGAGACCUUCGGGUCUAGUGGCGCACGGGUGCGUAGCGCGUGGGAAUCUGCCCUUGGGUUCGGAAUAACAGUUGGAAACGACUGCUAAUACCGGAUGAUGACGUAAGUCCAAAGAUUUAUCGCCCAAGGAUGAGCCCGCGUAGGAUUAGCUAGUUGGUGAGGUAAAGGCUCACCAAGGCGACGAUCCUUAGCUGGUCUGAGAGGAUGAUCAGCCACACUGGGACUGAGACACGGCCCAGACUCCUACGGGAGGCAGCAGUGGGGAAUAUUGGACAAUGGGCGAAAGCCUGAUCCAGCAAUGCCGCGUGAGUGAUGAAGGCCUUAGGGUUGUAAAGCUCUUUUACCCGGGAUGAUAAUGACAGUACCGGGAGAAUAAGCUCCGGCUAACUCCGUG